UACGUAGGGGGCGAGCGUUGUCCGGAGUUACUGGGCGUAAAGGGCAUGCAGGCGGUCUGGCGCGUUUUGCGUGACAGCGGGUGGCUCAACUACCCGAGCAUGCGAAAGACGGUUGGACUUGAGGGCUCGAGAGGGACACGGAAUUCCGGGUGGAGUGGUGAAAUGCGUAGAGAUCCGGAGGAACACCGAAGGCGAAGGCAGUGUCCUGGCGAGUGACUGACGCUGAGGUGCGAAAGCCAGGGGAGCGAACGGG
Molecule: ribosomal RNA, 253 nt
Filed under: uncultured Ktedonobacter sp.
Lineage: Bacteria; Bacillati; Chloroflexota; Ktedonobacteria; Ktedonobacterales; Ktedonobacteraceae
Description: partial 16S ribosomal RNA
Rfam family: Bacterial small subunit ribosomal RNA
Source: RNAcentral